Molecule: ribosomal RNA, 657 nt
Filed under: Apiotrichum cacaoliposimile
Lineage: Eukaryota; Fungi; Basidiomycota; Tremellomycetes; Trichosporonales; Trichosporonaceae
Description: eukaryotic LSU rRNA
Rfam family: Eukaryotic large subunit ribosomal RNA
Source: RNAcentral
CUGGCCUCAAAUCAGGUAGGACUACCCGCUGAACUUAAGCAUAUCAAUAAGCGGAGGAAAAGAAACUAACAAGGAUUCCCUUAGUAACGGCGAGUGAACCGGGAAAAGCUCAAAUUUGAAAUCUGGCUGUCUUCGAUAGUCCGAGUUGUAAUCUAUAGAAGCGUUUUCCGUGCUGAACUGUGUCUAAGUCCCUUGGAACAGGGUAUCAAAGAGGGUGACAAUCCCGUACUUGACACAAUCAUCAGUGCUCUGUGAUACGUUCUCUACGAGUCGAGUUGUUUGGGAAUGCAGCUCAAAAUGGGUGGUGAAUUCCAUCUAAAGCUAAAUAUUGGCGAGAGACCGAUAGCGAACAAGUACCGUGAGGGAAAGAUGAAAAGCACUUUGGAAAGAGAGUUAAACAGUACGUGAAAUUGUUAAAAGGGAAACGAUUGAAGUCAGUCGUGUUUAUUGGAUUCAGCCGGUCUUCGGUGUACUUCCUUUAAACGGGUCAACAUCAGUUUUGUUCGGUGGAUAAAGGUAUUAGGAAUGUGGCUUCUCCGGAAGUGUUAUAGCCUAGUAUCACAUACACUGGAGGAGACUGAGGAAUGCAGCUCGCCUUUAUGGCCGGGGUUCGCCCACGUUCGAGCUUAGGAUGUUGACAUAAUGGCUUUAAACGAC